GGGUUGUGAGGUUAAGCGACUAAGCGUACACGGUGGAUGCCCUGGCAGUCAGAGGCGAUGAAGGGCGUGCUAAUCUGCGAUAAGCGCCGGUAAGGUGAUAUGAACCGUUAUAACCGGCGAUACCCGAAUGGGGAAACCCAGUGUGAUUCGUCACACUAUCAUUAACUGAAUCCAUAGGUUAAUGAGGCGAACCGGGGGAACUGAAACAUCUAAGUACCCCGAGGAAAAGAAAUCAACCGAGAUUCCCCCAGUAGCGGCGAGCGAACGGGGAGGAGCCCAGAGCCUGAAUCAGCAUGUGUGUUAGUGGAAGCGUCUGGAAAGGUGCGCGAUACAGGGUGACAGCCCCGUACACAAAAGCGCAUGUGCUGUGAGCUCGAUGAGUAGGGCGGGACACGUGGUAUCCUGUCUGAAUAUGGGGGGACCAUCCUCCAAGGCUAAAUACUCCUGACUGACCGAUAGUGAACCAGUACCGUGAGGGAAAGGCGAAAAGAACCCCGGCGAGGGGAGUGAAAAAGAACCUGAAACCGUGUACGUACAAGCAGUGGGAGCACCCUUCGGGGUGUGACUGCGUACCUUUUGUAUAAUGGGUCAGCGACUUAUAUUCUGUAGCAAGGUUAACCGUAUAGGGGAGCCGGAGGGAAACCGAGUCUUAAUUGGGCGUUAAGUUGCAGGGUAUAGACCCGAAACCCGGUGAUCUAGCCAUGGGCAGGUUGAAGGUUGGGUAACACUAACUGGAGGACCGAA
RNAcentral lists this ribosomal RNA (744 nucleotides) under Salmonella enterica subsp. enterica serovar Typhimurium. Its description in RNAcentral is "partial 23S ribosomal RNA". It matches the Rfam family "Bacterial large subunit ribosomal RNA", at positions 1 to 778 of the family's 2925-position model. Lineage: Bacteria; Pseudomonadati; Pseudomonadota; Gammaproteobacteria; Enterobacterales; Enterobacteriaceae. The record is from RNAcentral.